UGGGGGAUAUUGCACAAUGGGCGAAAGCCUGAUGCAGCGACGCCGCGUGGGGGAUGAAGGCUUUCGGGUUGUAAACCUCUUUCGCUAUCGAACAAGGCCCGCUUAGGGUGGGUUGAGGGUAGGUGGAGAAGAAGCGCCGGCUAACUACGUGCCAGCAGCCGCGGUAAUACGUAGGGCGCGAGCGUUGUCCGGAAUUAUUGGGCGUAAAGGGCUUGUAGGCGGCUUGUUGCGCCUGCUGUGAAAACGCGGGGCUUAACUUCGCGCGUGCAGUGGGUACGGGCAGGCUUGAGUGUGGUAGGGGUGACUGGAAUUCCAGGUGUAGCGGUGGGAUGCGCAGAUAUCUGGAGGAACACCGAUGGCGAAGGCAGGUCACUGGGCCAUUACUGACGCUGAGGAGCGAAAGCAUGGGUAGCGAACAGG
This 420-nucleotide ribosomal RNA is filed under the name bacterium. Its description in RNAcentral is "partial 16S ribosomal RNA". It matches the Rfam family "Bacterial small subunit ribosomal RNA", at positions 355 to 776 of the family's 1533-position model. The record is from RNAcentral.